This 405-nucleotide ribosomal RNA is filed under the name uncultured eukaryote. RNAcentral describes it as "bacterial SSU rRNA". It matches the Rfam family "Bacterial small subunit ribosomal RNA", at positions 1133 to 1499 of the family's 1533-position model. The record is from RNAcentral.
UUUGAUUUACAAAAAACUGCCAGUGAAAAAUUGGAGGAAGGUGAGAACGACGUCAAGCCCUUAUGGCCCUUAUAAGNNGGGCUACACACGUGCUACAAUGGUAAUUACAGCUAGUUAUACAAUAAAGCGAUUUGGAGUAAAUCUAUAAAAAUUACCGUGUUCGGAUUAAGGGCUGAAAUUCGCCCUUAUGAAGUUGGAAUCACAAGUAAUCGUAAAUCAGAACGUUACGGUGAAUUUGUACUUAGAUCUUGCACACACCGCCCGUCACAUGCCGGAAGUAGAUUUUGUUUGAAACUUGUCUUGUACAACAAAUAUUUUGAAAUGAAUAAUUUCUUUCAAAAGGUAUGUUAAUAUUUGACAAACUAUUAUAGAAUUUGUAACUGGGAUGAAGUCGUAACAAGGUAA